This is a non-coding RNA of Podarcis lilfordi (Lilford's wall lizard), 119 nucleotides long. The record is from the annotation of a GenBank genome assembly. Lineage: Eukaryota; Metazoa; Chordata; Lepidosauria; Squamata; Lacertidae.
UUCUAAGCAAACUUGUACCCUGAACGCACCCGAUCUUGUCUGAUUUCGGAAGCUAAGCAGGGUCAGGCCUGGUUAGUACUUGUAUGGGAGACCACCUGGAAUACCAGGUGCUGUAGGCU